This 621-nucleotide ribosomal RNA is filed under the name uncultured bacterium. Its description in RNAcentral is "bacterial SSU rRNA". It matches the Rfam family "Bacterial small subunit ribosomal RNA", at positions 876 to 1504 of the family's 1533-position model. The record is from RNAcentral.
GGGAGUACGCACGCAAGUGUGAACUCAAAGAAUGACGGGGCCCGCACAACGGUGAGUAUGUGGUUAAUUCGAUGCAACGCGAAGAACCUUACCAGGGCUUGACAUCCCGCGAACCCCUGAGAAAUCGGGGGGUGCCUUCGGGAACGCGGAGACAGGUGGUGCAUGGCUGUCGUCAGCUCGUGUCGUGAGAUGUUGGGUUAAGUCCCGCAACGAGCGCAACCCACGUUUUUAGUUGCCAGCAUUCAGUUGGGCACUCUAGAAAGACCGCCGGUGAUAAACCGGAGGAAGGUGUGGAUGACGUCAAGUCAUCAUGCCCCUUACGUCCUGGGCUACACACGUACUACAAUGCUACGGACAAAGGGCAGCAAACUCGCGAGAGCUAGCAAAUCCCAUAAACCGUGGCUCAGUUCAGAUCGUAGGCUGCAACUCGCCUACGUGAAGGAGGAAUCGCUAGUAAUCGCAGGUCAGCAUACUGCGGUGAAUACGUUCCCGGGCCUUGUACACACCGCCCGUCACACCAUGGAAGUUGGCCACGCCCGAAGUCGUUACUCCAACCCUUGUGGAGGAGGAUGCCGAAGGUGGGGCUGAUGACUGGGGUGGAGUCGUAACAAGGUAACCGUA